UCCCUGGUGGCUCAGAUAGUAAAGAAUCUGCCUGCCGUGCAGAAAACCCAGGUUUGAUUCCUGGGUCGGGAA
This 72-nucleotide transfer RNA is filed under the name Bos taurus (domestic cattle). It matches the Rfam family "tRNA". Rfam says of the family: Transfer RNA (tRNA) molecules are approximately 80 nucleotides in length. Their secondary structure includes four short double-helical elements and three loops (D, anti-codon, and T loops). Lineage: Eukaryota; Metazoa; Chordata; Mammalia; Artiodactyla; Bovidae. RNAcentral also lists the same sequence under 3 other names. The record is from Rfam by way of RNAcentral.